Esox lucius (northern pike) is the source of this 1407-nucleotide long non-coding RNA. NCBI's taxonomy places the organism in Eukaryota, Metazoa, Chordata, Actinopteri, Esociformes, Esocidae. The record is from Ensembl.
UGGUUUAAUGUGUUAAAAAUAAAACAUUCAAAACUGAAACCCUACGAAUAUACAAGGCACCAUUCCAGAGAUUAAUCUCGUAUUGACUGGGAGUUAUACGAAAGCAAAUACUUUAAGUAAAAACUGCAAGAAUCUCUAACGAGCUACAUAUCUAACAUGUGUUUCUCUCUACAAAAAAGUUGACGAAUCAAUGUGCUUAGUGUUUGAACAUGGAUGACCUGAUUCAGUGUCUAUGUUUAUGCAGCCCAAUGCAGAUUUUUCUCCCACUAAUUAUUUUGGUAGGUAUCACAAUUGAGAUGACUGUUUAAAUGCAGCCAAAUAUCUGGUGACAGUAUCUGGUGACAAUUACAACCAACAUUUCACAAAAAGUAAAAGCUUAAGCAAUAAACAUGCACUUACACCAUAGAGAUGUUUAGAGGCCUCAAGUGCCAAAAGACUGGCAUUGGCCAUUCAAGGCAUCCAUACAUUUUAAUGUCAUCAGGUAGGACAUUCCUCCUAUACAUUUUUCCGGAUGACCCAGUCAAUUGGGUGGCACUUUAAAAUUCACUGGCAGAUCCUUCCUUAUUACUCGGUUGGAAUCAAGUCAAGAUGAAGUUGGAUGUCCCACCCAAUUGAAGAAUGUCCAUUUCCAUCUCUCACAGACUCUAUAAUGGGAAAUGAUACUGGGAUGCGUCCUAUAAACGUCUCUAUGUCGUACACAUUCAUGCUUUAGCACACGUGACAGAGAGAAAGGGUUAGAAAAGUCUUUGGUAAAGAGAGGUCAACCAAAAGCACAGCUCAUAAUAGCAUGGGUAAGUCUGUUUAGCCUACAUUCCACUCCUUCUACUCCGUCUAACUAUGCCAAGAGACUGGCCUUAUAAACUCAAUGAUCAAAAUGCAGCUGGAUUUUGUGUGUGACAACUGUUGUUUUUAAACAUUUAACAUUAAAAAUUCCAUGACAACAUGUAAUAGCCUAGUUUGUGGUUCUCUUUAACUUAAAAUGUUGCUUGAUUUGUUUAUCUUCGAUAAAACACCCAUAGCAGUUCUUAGCUAGAAUGCUAAUGCUCAUUGGCAUAGGCUGGAAACAAAGCCAAAAAUAUAUUUUACUGGCUGAAGUUAAAGUGUUUAACAAUAAAUUGGUUAAAAUCUGAUUAUAAUCCAAAAGUAUGGUGAAUGCUCUCAUAAACACAUGUAAAUUGAACCUUUGUUUGCUGCCUGCCAAAAAAAAGCCCCCCUUGUUCUGCUACCAAAUUGCACACAUUUCCCUCAUGCCAUUUGGCAAUGCUUUCCAACAUAAAUAUUAGAAACAUGUAGUUGUUAGCUAUGCAAAUUGUUCUAUUUUGACCUAACAUUUUGUGAUUGGUAUUGAUGUACAUACAUAUUUUCAUAGAUGUAAACAAGUAACUUUGAAAGAAGGUUUUCUAUUGA